This 468-nucleotide ribosomal RNA is filed under the name uncultured bacterium. RNAcentral's name for it is "partial 16S ribosomal RNA". It matches the Rfam family "Bacterial small subunit ribosomal RNA", at positions 28 to 507 of the family's 1533-position model. The record is from RNAcentral.
GACGAACGCUGGCGGCGUGCUUAACACAUGCAAGUCGAACGGAAAGGCCCUGCUUUUGUGGGGUGCUCGAGUGGCGAACGGGUGAGUAACACGUGAGUAACCUGCCCUUGAAUUUGGGAUAACUUCAGGAAAAUGGGGCUCAUACCCGAUAGGAGCUCCUGCUGCAUGUUGGGGAUUGGAGAGUUUCGGCUGUGGGGGAUGGACUCGCGGCUUAUCAGCUUGUUGGUGGGGUAGUGGCUUACCAAGGCUUUGACGGGUAGCCGGCCUGAGAGGGUUACCGGCGACAUUGGGACUGAGAUACGGCCCAGACUCCUACGGGAGGCAGCAGUGGGGAGUAUUGCACAAUGGGCGGAAGCCUGAGGCAGCGACGCCGGGUGCGGGAUGACGGCCUUCGGGGUGUAAACCGCUUUCGCCUUUGACGAAGCGGGAGUGACGGUAAUGGGUAAAGAAGCACCGGCUAACUACGUG